AGCGAACGCUGGCGGCAGGCUUAACACAUGCAAGUCGAGCGGGCAUAGCAAUAUGUCAGCGGCAGACGGGUGAGUAACGCGUGGGAACGUACCUUUUGGUUCGGAACAACUGGGGGAAACUUCAGCUAAUACCGGAUAAGCCCUUACGGGGAAAGAUUUAUCGCCGAAAGAUCGGCCCGCGUCUGAUUAGCUAGUUGGUGAGGUAAUGGCUCACCAAGGCGACGAUCAGUAGCUGGUCUGAGAGGAUGAUCAGCCACAUUGGGACUGAGACACGGCCCAAACUCCUACGGGAGGCAGCAGUGGGGAAUAUUGGACAAUGGGCGCAAGCCUGAUCCAGCCAUGCCGCGUGAGUGAUGAAGGCCCUAGGGUUGUAAAGCUCUUUUGUGCGGGAAGAUAAUGACGGUACCGCAAGAAUAAGCCCCGGCUAACUUCGUG
RNAcentral lists this ribosomal RNA (435 nucleotides) under uncultured bacterium. RNAcentral's name for it is "partial 16S ribosomal RNA". It matches the Rfam family "Bacterial small subunit ribosomal RNA", at positions 29 to 507 of the family's 1533-position model. The record is from RNAcentral.